Molecule: transfer RNA, 71 nt
Filed under: Bacteroidaceae bacterium
Lineage: Bacteria; Pseudomonadati; Bacteroidota; Bacteroidia; Bacteroidales; Bacteroidaceae
Description: tRNA-Gln
Rfam family: tRNA
About the family: Transfer RNA (tRNA) molecules are approximately 80 nucleotides in length. Their secondary structure includes four short double-helical elements and three loops (D, anti-codon, and T loops).
Source: RNAcentral
UGGGCUAUGGUGUAAUGGUAACACAGCAGAUUCUGGUCCUGUCGUUCCCAGUUCGAAUCUGGGUAGCCCAA